CUCUAUUACUCUUUAUUUCUGCUCUUUUCAAUUUGAGGAUGUUUUUCUAGCUAGACAAGAGCAGAAGAGAGCAGAGUUUGAAUAGAUCUGGCUUCUGCUAAUAUCAUGCCACAUUUUCUGAGAAUGGGAAUGUGGAAGAUGGUAAAUUUAGAGACAGAGAAGCCAGUAAUGGGAAAACAGGGUUGGUGAGGACUGAUUAGGUACAGGUGUAACACACAGAGACCAGGGAGGCCACGGCUGACCACAGAUGGAGGCAGGCAGCAAUGGAGUGCUACUACUGAAAAGCACUCCAAAGUGAUCCCGGGAUGUAUUUAUAGAAGGGUGACAUGCAACACCCAGGAAGCAAUCAUUAGGCUACAAUCUACAUUAGUCAGAUCUCUAUUGAAAAUGAUGCCCAUUUUGUCACGCUUUGAAUGUGAGAGCCCUGGAGGAGGGGGGAAUAUAAAGGGACAGGCAAUCAUUGCUUAGAGUAGAAGUGAAGGAAUCCGGACUGCUGAAAGCAACCACUGCUCCUGUCCCACCUACUUCCUGACGGCUCUAGCAAAGCUCGUACCAUGUAAGUUACCAUUUCCACAUGCCGGUUGGAGGGACUUCGAGAGCAAAGUGGUUGAGGAGAUUCAGGCUCAUCGCUGGAACCUCACACUGACCACAGCAGCCUGUGGCCUCUGUCUGAUUUCUGACUUGUUUUCCACCUAGAUGUUAAGCUUCAUUUAAUCUCUCCUGGAAAAAAAGGGAGAAAAGAAAAAGAAAGGCACACACAGGAGAAAGACCCUUGUCGGUAUCACGUACUGGGUUCUUGCAGGCCAAGGACUGCAAGUAUAAAGUCCUUGUGCCGGCUUUCCUCAUCUCUCCCCAAAAUAAAUUUCCAGAAAAAGAAAUAAAUAAAAGGACAGUGUAUUCCACCUGCAGCUGGAAAACUCGAGAAGCCAAGUCCCCAGAGGCUGAUGCUGUGGGCCAGAUGGUCCUUGCUUCCCCAUAGGAGCAUGGGCUCUGCUUGCUCUUUCUGGG
Molecule: long non-coding RNA, 1008 nt
Organism: Bos taurus (domestic cattle)
Lineage: Eukaryota; Metazoa; Chordata; Mammalia; Artiodactyla; Bovidae
Source: Ensembl